CAGAGAUGCUGUCGUUGUUCUCUAGCAGCAGACAGCUGACUCGGUCCAGGACUUCAGCUUGGAGAGCCAUUUCCUCCAGCAGGUCCCUCCUGGACGGGCUGAAGUCCGUCGUUUUGAUCAUCUGAGGAGACAUCAUGCUGCCCAAACAGGAAGCGUCAUCAUCUGCAUUGAAGUCAUGUGACAGAAAGUCAAAGCUGCCCAGGACUUCCUCCACAGCCAGAGUCUCCUCUGAUGAGGAGCUUCUCAGCAGGGAGAGGUCAUUCUGUGGGUCAACACAUUCAGACAGGGAUCCGUCCUCCCCAAGGGACAGCUGGGUCUGGCUUCCUCCCAGACUGGUGCCUCUACUGUGGCUGGUGGGGUAGCUGUGAGUCCGUGUGAGACUGGAGGAAGAGAUUUUCAUACGAAGCAUACAAUCACAGUGAAAUUAGGGCAGUCAAUCCAUUAAAAUAGUUAAUCGCAAAUUAAUCGCACAUUUUUUAAUCUGUUCAAAAUGUUCCUUAAAGAGAGAUUUGUCAAGUAUUUAAUACUCUUAUCAACAUGGGAGUGGACAAAUAUGCUGCUUUAUGCAAAUGUAUAUAUAUAUUUAUUAUUGGAAAUCAAACAUAUCAAACAUAAAUCCAUGUUGACAUCUUUCUAAUUAAAUUUAGUAACAGUGCAUGUUUGAAUCCUUCUACUAUAGUUGUCUGUAUUUUUUAUUGGAGAUGAAACUGAUAUUGAUCCUCUGAUCUAACUCUGGGUACGAUUGCAAGCAGAUUUUUUCCCCCUAAAUGUUCCAGUGUAUGUUCCUUUAAAGCAAUGUUCGCCAACAUGUAGGCCCCCCAAGAUGAUUAAAGAGAUGUGACUUUAAUGUGAAAUACUGAAUACUUUCAUCUGUUCAGACCUCUGAAAAUCAGUCAAAUAACAUCUGCUCAUAAUUCAUAACCUCUGAUGUGGGGUAACAAGACAAGGAGGUUGGGAAGUACUGCUUUAAAGUAUAAGGCUGGCAUGAACAGAGCCGUUUGAAUGGCUCCAUGAAUCACACAGAUGAUGUUUGUACAUUUAAAAGAUCAUUUUUCGAGUCCAGAAAGUCUCAGUUUGUUGUCGUAUCAUUUAGUUUAGUGUGAAACCGCUCAGUAAACUACAUCUCUCAUCUCACACAACAUACGUCACCAAAACUAGAUAGCUAGCUAACUCAGCUAUUCUGAAAUAAGGUCCCAUGGUGGUCACAGGAAGGGGCGGGACUUCACCUCUCUAUUCUUUAAUAUUAUUAUUAUUAUUAUUAUUAUUAUUACUGACAAAUCCCAUUAAAAGACAUCAUUUAAUUUAUUUGAUGAAGAAGUCUGGUGUGUGUAAGCUCUGUAUAUUAGCUGGUUGUAAGUGAAAUCCAUCAGCAGUAACAUGAGUG
Molecule: long non-coding RNA, 1384 nt
Organism: Sebastes umbrosus (honeycomb rockfish)
Lineage: Eukaryota; Metazoa; Chordata; Actinopteri; Perciformes; Sebastidae
Exons: 3
Source: RefSeq, a predicted model, not a curated record